ACAUACAUCAAGGGUCCACACAAUGAGA
Molecule: non-coding RNA, 28 nt
Filed under: Mus musculus (house mouse)
Lineage: Eukaryota; Metazoa; Chordata; Mammalia; Rodentia; Muridae
Source: RNAcentral